UACAGAGGUCUCAAGCGUUGUUCGGAUUCAUUGGGCGUAAAGGGUGCGUAGGUGGCGCUGUAAGUCGGGUGUGAAAUUUCGGAGCUUAACUCCGAAACUGCAUUCGAUACUGCGGUGCUUGAGGACUGGAGAGGAGACUGGAAUUCAUGGUGUAGCAGUGAAAUGCUUAGAUAUGACAUAGAACACCAAUUGCGAAGGCAGCUCACUACACGAAUAUUGACACUGAGGCACGAAAGCGUGGGGAUCA
Molecule: ribosomal RNA, 247 nt
Filed under: uncultured bacterium
Lineage: Bacteria
Description: partial 16S ribosomal RNA
Rfam family: Bacterial small subunit ribosomal RNA
Source: RNAcentral